GGCUCAUUAUAUAAGUUAUCGUUUAUUUGAUAAUACUUUACUACUUGGAUAACCGUGGUAAUUCUAGAGCUAAUACAUGCUGAAAAUCCCGACUUCGGAAGGGAUGUAUUUAUUAGAUUAAAAACCAAUGCCCCUCGGGGCUCUCUGGUGAAUCAUGAUAACUAGUCGAAUCGACAGGCCUUGUGCCGGCGAUGGCUCAUUCAAAUUUCUUCCCUAUCAACUUUCGAUGUUUGGGUAUUGGCCAAACAUGGUGGCAACGGGUAACGGAGGGUUAGGGCUCGACCCCGGAGAAGGAGCCUGAGAAACGGCUACUACAUCCAAGGAAGGCAGCAGGCGCGCAAAUUACCCAAUCCCGACACGGGGAGGUAGUGACAAUAAAUACUGAUACAGGGCUCUUUUGGGUCUUGUAAUCGGAAUGAGUACAAUUUAAAUCCCUUAACGAGGAACAAUUGGAGGGCAAGUCUGGUGCCAGCAGCCGCGGUAAUUCCAGCUCCAAUAGCGUAUAUUAAAGUUGUUGUGGUUAAAAAGCUCGUAGUUGAACCUUGGGCCUGGCUGG
Molecule: ribosomal RNA, 556 nt
Filed under: Trichoderma sp.
Lineage: Eukaryota; Fungi; Ascomycota; Sordariomycetes; Hypocreales; Hypocreaceae
Description: SSU rRNA
Rfam family: Eukaryotic small subunit ribosomal RNA
Source: RNAcentral